This 443-nucleotide ribosomal RNA is filed under the name uncultured bacterium. RNAcentral describes it as "SSU rRNA". It matches the Rfam family "Bacterial small subunit ribosomal RNA", at positions 26 to 518 of the family's 1533-position model. The record is from RNAcentral.
AGAGCGAACGCUGGCGGCAGGCUUAACACAUGCAAGUCGAGCGCCCCGCAAGGGGAGCGGCAGACGGGUGAGUAACGCGUGGGAACGUACCUUUGGUUCGGAACAACACAGGGAAACUUGUGCUAAUACCGGAUAAGCCCUUACGGGGAAAGAUUUAUCGCCGAAAGAUCGGCCCGCGUCUGAUUAGCUAGUUGGUGAGGUAACGGCUCACCAAGGCGACGAUCAGUAGCUGGUCUGAGAGGAUGAUCAGCCACAUUGGGACUGAGACACGGCCCAAACUCCUACGGGAGGCAGCAGUGGGGAAUAUUGGACAAUGGGCGCAAGCCUGAUCCAGCCAUGCCGCGUGAGUGAUGAAGGCCCUAGGGUUGUAAAGCUCUUUUAACGGGGAAGAUAAUGACGGUACCCGUAGAAUAAGCCCCGGCUAACUUCGCGCCAGCAGCCGC